RNAcentral lists this ribosomal RNA (329 nucleotides) under Capnocytophaga ochracea str. Holt 25. Its description in RNAcentral is "bacterial SSU rRNA". It matches the Rfam family "Bacterial small subunit ribosomal RNA", at positions 106 to 434 of the family's 1533-position model. The record is from RNAcentral. Lineage: Bacteria; Pseudomonadati; Bacteroidota; Flavobacteriia; Flavobacteriales; Flavobacteriaceae.
GUGCGUAACGCGUAUACAAUCUGCCUUUCACUGGGGGAUAGCCCGAAGAAAUUUGGAUUAAUACCCCAUAGUAUAUAGGGACGGCAUCGUUUUUAUAUUAAAGCUCUGGUGGUGAAAGAUGAGUAUGCGUUCUAUUAGCUAGUUGGAGAGGUAACGGCUCCCCAAGGCUAUGAUAGAUAGGGGUUCUGAGAGGGAUGUCCCCCACACUGGUACUGAGAUACGGACCAGACUCCUACGGGAGGCAGCAGUGAGGAAUAUUGGACAAUGGUCGGAAGACUGAUCCAGCCAUGCCGCGUGCAGGAUGACUGCCUUAUGGGUUGUWAACUGCU